UGGGGAAUAUUGGACAAUGGGCGAAAGCCUGAUCCAGCCAUGCCGCGUGUGUGAAGAAGGUCUUCGGAUUGUAAAGCACUUUAAGUUGGGAGGAAGGGUACUUACCUAAUACGUGAGUAUUUUGACGUUACCGACAGAAUAAGCACCGGCUAACUCUGUGCCAGCAGCCGCGGUAAUACAGAGGGUGCAAGCGUUAAUCGGAAUUACUGGGCGUAAAGCGCUCGUAGGUGGUUUGUUAAGUUGGAUGUGAAAGACCCGGGCUCAACCUGGGAACUGCAUCAAAAAAUGGCAAGCUAGAGUAUGGUAGAGGGUGGUGGAAUUUCCUGUGUAGCGGUGGAAUGCGUAGGUAUAGGAAGGAACACCAGUGGCGAAGGCGACCACCUGGACUGAUACUGACACUGAGGUGCGAAAGCGUGGGGAGCAAACA
This 427-nucleotide ribosomal RNA is filed under the name uncultured bacterium. RNAcentral describes it as "bacterial SSU rRNA". It matches the Rfam family "Bacterial small subunit ribosomal RNA", at positions 355 to 774 of the family's 1533-position model. The record is from RNAcentral.